GGAAUCUUGCGCAAUGGCCUAACGGCUGACGCAGCGACGCCGCGUGAGGGAUGACGCUCUUCGGAGUGUAAACCUCUUUUGUCUGAGACGAACUGUCAGCUUUUGCUGAUUUGACGGUAUCGGGCGAAUAAGCACCGGCUUACUCCGUGCCAGCAGCCGCGGUAAUACGGGGGGUGCGAGCGUUGUCCGGAAUCACUGGGCGUAAAGGGCGCGUAGGUGGUCUUAUAAGGGUGUGGUGAAAGCCCGGGGCUCAACCCCGGGUCGGCCGUGCCGACUGUGAGACUAGAGUGCUGUAGGGGCAGGCGGAAUUCCGGGCGUAGCGGUGGAAUGCGUAGAGAUCCGGAGGAAGACCGGUGGCGAAGGCGGCCUGCUGGGCAGAUACUGACACUGAGGCGCGACAGCGUGGGGAGCAAAC
RNAcentral lists this ribosomal RNA (415 nucleotides) under uncultured bacterium. RNAcentral's name for it is "bacterial SSU rRNA". It matches the Rfam family "Bacterial small subunit ribosomal RNA", at positions 358 to 773 of the family's 1533-position model. The record is from RNAcentral.